This is a long non-coding RNA of Cyprinus carpio carpio, 1700 nucleotides long. NCBI's taxonomy places the organism in Eukaryota, Metazoa, Chordata, Actinopteri, Cypriniformes, Cyprinidae. The record is from Ensembl.
CAGCGUUUAGCUGAGGCCACAAAGGAUCAACGUUUUUUUUAAGCUCUUGAGGUUAAGAAGUCUGUGCUAACUAACUUGUUAGGGGUAUCAGCACAGGGGGCUCUGAUUAGGUCCCGUUUUAAGAAUAUAAUGGAAAUGGAUGUUCCAUCACACUUUCUUUUUUUUUUUUCGAUUGGAGCAAAAGAAUGGUUAAAAAAGAUUCAUUCAUAGUUUAAAAUCUGACUUUGGGCAUGUGUUGUCUGAUCAUGCUGCUAUUCAUAAGCACGCUGUUGGUUUUUAUAAUAAUUUGUAUAAAUGUGAGCAAGUGAUAGCUCAGAGUUUUUAUACGGGUCUUCCCCAGUAGAAAAACUGCUGGUUUAGAUGGUUUACCUGUUGAUUUUUAUUAAUUAAUAAUUAAUAAAAUUUAUUUAUUAAAAAACCUAAUGUCGGACAUGAACGACAAAUUUUUUCAGCAAAAGAAAUGCUUUAAUGUUCUGUGCUGAUGGAAAUAUAAUCAUGGGAGGCGAUUGGAAUUGUACUGAGAAUUUCACUAUUGAUCGCACAAAUGAAGAACCUCACCUUCAGUCUUCAUCUCAAUUAUCAAAAAUAGUUCGAGAAGUAGACCUUUUAGAUAUGUGGCGGAUCAAACACCCACACUUGAGAAAAUAUACUUGGAUUAAAAUAACAGAUAAUAGAGUCAGUGCUGCUCGCUUGGAUAGGAUAUAUAUGUCCAAUCAUCUUAAUAGUCGGAAUAUUGAUUGUUUUAUCACUCCAGUAGGGUACACAGAUCAUCAUUUGGUUUCUCUUACUAUAAAUAUGUCCAAGUGUAUAAAGAAGUCAUCUUAUUGGCAUUUUAACACUAAAUUGCUUCAGGAUCUUAAUUUUUUUAAACAUUUUGAGAUUUUUUUGGCAACAGUGGAGAUUGUGUAAAGGCACUUUUGAAAAUUUAAAACAGUGGUGGGAAAUAGGGAAAACAAACAUUAAAAUGUUUUGUUUGCAACAUACUGCUAAUUCCACUAUUAAAUUAAGAGAAAUUAUUCAGUCAAUUGAAAAGGACAUAUAAAAUAUGGAGGUGGAUCUUAUUAAUAGAUAUGAUUCUAAUCUGUUUAACAACCUGCAAGGAAAAAAAAGAAGGGAGAAGGUUGAAGGGAGCUCUUGUAAGGUCUCGGAUUGUCUCUAUUAAUUACAUGGAUGCUCCUAGUGCUUAUUUUUUUAAUUUGGAGCACAAAGUGGCACAACAGAAACAGAUGUCAUGUCUUCGCCUUCCUGAUGGGAGGGUGACCAGUAAUAUUACAGAGAUGAGGCAUCAUGCAGUGGAUUUUUAUUCCAAUCUCUAUGCUGCUGAACAAUGUGAUGCUGACUGUGCCAAACAGCUAAUUCAAGACUUGCCUCAAAUAGACUCGGACUCUAAGACUGAUUUGGACACUGAACUUUCUCUUCAAGAGCUCACUACCGCAGUUGGUCAGCUUGGUAUUGGACGAUCUCCCUGUAUUGAUGGGUUUCCCUCAGAAUUUUACAAGCAUUUUUGGAACUUUAUUGGACAAGACUUAUAUGAGGUUUUCUGUGAAUGUAGUAAAGAUGGUUGUUUGCCUAUAUCUUGUCAAUGUGCUGUGCUGUGCUUUUUUGUAUUACCAAAAAAGGGAGAUUUAUCUUUUUAAAAAAAUUGGAGACCUGUUGCAUUACUGACCACUAAUUACAAAUGUCAAGAAUCUGGGAGUAGG